GAUGAACGCUAGCGGCAGGCCUAAUACAUGCAAGUCGGACGGGAUUCGGAGCUUGCUUCUGAUGAGAGUGGCGCACGGGUGCGUAACACGUAUGUAACCUACCUUUAUCAGGGGGAUAGCCUCUCGAAAGAGAGAUUAAGCCCGCAUAAAAUCACAGCACAGCAUUGUGUAAUGAUCAAAUAUUUAUAGGAUAAAGAUGGGCAUGCGGAACAUUAGCUAGAUGGCGGGGUAACGGCCCACCAUGGCGACGAUGUUUAGGGGAUCUGAGAGGAUGGCCCCCCACACUGGUACUGGGACACGGACCAGACUCCUACGGGAGGCAGCAGUAAGGAAUAUUGGUCAAUGGGCGGAAGCCUGAACCAGCCAUGCCGCGUGCAGGAAGACGGCCCUACGGGUUGUAAACUGCUUUUAUACGGGAAUAAACCCAGAUACGUGUAUCUGGCUGAAUGUACUGUAAGAAUAAGGAUCGGCUAACUCCGUG
Molecule: ribosomal RNA, 481 nt
Filed under: uncultured bacterium
Lineage: Bacteria
Description: partial 16S ribosomal RNA
Rfam family: Bacterial small subunit ribosomal RNA
Source: RNAcentral